AUUGAACGCUGGCGGAAUGCUUUACACAUGCAAGUCGAGCGGCAGCGCGGGGGCAACCCUGGCGGCGAGCGGCGAACGGGUGAGUAACAUAUCGGAACGUACCCUGUCGUGGGGGAUAACUAUCCGAAAGGAUAGCUAAUACCGCAUACGACCUGAGGGUGAAAGCGGGGGACCGCAAGGCCUCGCGCGAUAGGAGCGGCCGAUAUCGGAUUAGCUAGUUGGUGAGGUAAAGGCUCACCAAGGCGACGAUCCGUAGCGGGUCUGAGAGGACGACCCGCCACACUGGAACUGAGACACGGUCCAGACUCCUACGGGAGGCAGCAGUGGGGAAUUUUGGACAAUGGGGGCAACCCUGAUCCAGCCAUUCCGCGUGAGUGAAGAAGGCCUCGGUUGUAA
Molecule: ribosomal RNA, 396 nt
Filed under: uncultured bacterium
Lineage: Bacteria
Description: bacterial SSU rRNA
Rfam family: Bacterial small subunit ribosomal RNA
Source: RNAcentral